RNAcentral lists this unclassified non-coding RNA (216 nucleotides) under Hevea brasiliensis (rubber tree). Lineage: Eukaryota; Viridiplantae; Streptophyta; Magnoliopsida; Malpighiales; Euphorbiaceae. The record is from RNAcentral.
AGUAAACUUGAGAAGCCCCAUUACUGGUGGGAAUUCUCUGGCGCUUCUCCACAUAUGCUGAGGGGAACCACCCACAUUUUCCUUUACAUUCUCCUUCUGACCAUCCGGUUGGGCUCACCUUUCGCACGACAACAUAAUCACCCACUUCCAAGCUCAGCUCCUUCUCCGUUUCUGCAAUGAAAGGAUGUGUUGCUUCAGCCAAGAAGUACAUGGUUU